GGGUUUAGUUAUUGAACCGCUGCGCACUUGUUGGAGGCUUGAGUUAUCUGAACGCCCUAAUUAAAAAAACAAAGCAAACCUUUUAUUUCAUUUUAUCAGUGCUUAGGAGUGCAGAUAUUUAAGCCAUUUAGGAAUGCAGAAUUUCAUAUUCUUUAUUCUGUGGGUACCUCAUUAGAAAAAGUAGCUUUUGUUAAUUGCUGGUAGCAGCUCUCAAUAAGAUUUACUGUUUGGGUUAAAAACCAUUAUAAAGCCUGACCUCAUUACAUAAAUUACUAAUUCACAACAAAGCAGACAUAUUAUCUAUUCACUUGGUGGGAGCAGUUUGCUGAAAGCCCUCUUUAGUUCCUUUGGACCGCUGCCUUGCUCACCCCCUGCUUUUCACUGUGCCUGGAGGCUAUAAAGUGAGAGGUUGAGUUGCUCAUCAAGAAGCAGCAUCUGCUGGAAGAAUUGCCGUGUGUUGUUGUCCAACAGACCCUACCUCAUGAGCGUUACGCUGUUCCUGGUGUAGCUAUCUCCAGUGUCCAUUCGUUGUGAAGGAAACUAAGAGCAUGACGGAGUCGUCUAUUGAAAGCCCUAAAAGGUUCUGGGAGCCACCACUCCAAUUUGCAGCAAGUGCAAAUCUUCAUCCUUCUGAUUCCCGCAGUAACACCAGCGGGGCUGUGGGCAGCGCAGCACUCAGCGUGUGUAAAGUGAGGCGGUGUAUGUGUGAAGAAUUUAUAGAAGGACUGUCCCUUGGGAAGUGUUUUGAAAAUAUCUGACACUUGA
Molecule: long non-coding RNA, 765 nt
Filed under: Numida meleagris (helmeted guineafowl)
Lineage: Eukaryota; Metazoa; Chordata; Aves; Galliformes; Numididae
Description: lncRNA (ENSNMEG00000000889.1)
Source: RNAcentral